Molecule: long non-coding RNA, 887 nt
Organism: Oreochromis niloticus (Nile tilapia)
Lineage: Eukaryota; Metazoa; Chordata; Actinopteri; Cichliformes; Cichlidae
Exons: 2
Source: RefSeq, a predicted model, not a curated record
AGAAGGUGCUGCACCAAAAACCUCCUAGUGAUUUAUGUGGUUACUAGCAGUUUGCCACGUUUGCUUGUAAUUUUCAUGUUUGUCUGCAAAUACUUGCCAACUACCAGCUGAGCGGAAGUAAAACCUGAAAAAGUGCAAAACAAACUGAAAACGGAGAAAGGUUGUCUUCAAAUUAAAAGCAUGCCUCAACACUACAGCUAAUGCGUUUCAAAAGCCAACUUUCAGUCUGGAGACAAAAGAUCUCAAUGUCCAGUUUAUGUCACAGUUUUCAGUUUCACUACGACUCAGAGAGUAGAUGGGUUGUGUUAGUAGAUAAGUCCGUCACUUCCAUUCAAACUAUAACCACAGCAAUGUGCAAACAAUCAAAUUUAGUCAUUAACAAUACAAAACAAUCACAAGGAGGUUCAACACAUUUGUCACGACCUGCAGAAUCGGCAAGGUGCUGAUCAGAAUCUCUCCACUCCUAGCCCUCCUUCUCUUCUCUUUUUCCUCUCUCUCUCCCUCUCCCCUUCUCUCCCCUGUUUUGCCGGGGCGGAACUCAUGGAGGGUUCACGCCCUCGGUCCACGCCUUCCCGGAUUGUGCACACCUGGGCCUCAUCAGACCAGCUGGUAUAUUAGAAGGAGGAGAUCAGCUGUUCAACGCUGGAUUGUUGUGAAGGCUCUUAUUCCCCGGACCCGUCCCCGUGUUUCCUCGUGUGGAGUGUGGAAGGAGUGACUGGUCGCUAGCGGAGAAGAGAGAGGUUGAACUGAGCGCGUGUGUGAUUUCCCCCUUUUCCCUGGAGCCCUGGACCCCUGCCCCUCACGUCUUGUAUAUAGCACUAACCCCGCACUGUCUGUACAUACACUUGGUGAAGAUCUGUAAAUAAACCGUCUCUGUUUAAACGCUA